UACAUAGGGUGCAGGCGUUGUCCGGAAUUAUUGGGCGUAAAGAGCUCGUAGGUCGUUUGUUACGUCGGAUGUGAAAACCUGAGGCUCAACCUCAGGCCUGCAUUCGAUACGGGCAAACUAGAGUUUGGUAGGGGAGACUGGAAUUCCUGGCGUAGCGGUGGAAUGCGCAGAUAUCAGGAGGAACACCAAUGGCGAAGGCAGGUCUCUGGGCCAAUACUGACACUGAGGAGCGAAAGUCUGGGGAGCGAACAGG
Molecule: ribosomal RNA, 253 nt
Filed under: uncultured bacterium
Lineage: Bacteria
Description: partial 16S ribosomal RNA
Rfam family: Bacterial small subunit ribosomal RNA
Source: RNAcentral